This 253-nucleotide ribosomal RNA is filed under the name uncultured bacterium. Its description in RNAcentral is "partial 16S ribosomal RNA". It matches the Rfam family "Bacterial small subunit ribosomal RNA", at positions 524 to 776 of the family's 1533-position model. The record is from RNAcentral.
UACGGGGGGGGCAAGCGUUGUUCGGAAUUACUGGGCGUAAAGGGUCUGUAGGUGGCCAACUAAGUCAUACGUGAAAUCCCUCAGCUUAACUGGGGAACUGCGUCUGAUACUGGUUGGCUUGAGUGCAGGAGAGGAACGCGGAAUUCCAGGUGUAGCGGUGAAAUGCGUAGAGAUGUGGAGGAACACCAGUGGCGAAGGCGGCUCUUUGGUCUGUAACUGACGCUGAGGCGCGAAAGCGUGGGGAGCAAACAGG